This 468-nucleotide ribosomal RNA is filed under the name uncultured bacterium. RNAcentral's name for it is "partial 16S ribosomal RNA". It matches the Rfam family "Bacterial small subunit ribosomal RNA", at positions 28 to 507 of the family's 1533-position model. The record is from RNAcentral.
GACGAACGCUGGCGGCGUGCCUAACACAUGCAAGUCGAACGGAAAGGCCCUGCUUUUGUGCGGUGCUCGAGUGGCGAACGGGGGAGUAACACGUGAGUAACCUGCCCUUGACUUUGUGAUAACUUCAGGAAACUUGGGCUAAUAUCGGAUAGGAGUUCUUGCUGCAUGUUGUGGGUUGGAAAGUUUCGGCGGUUGGGUCUGUACUCGCGGCGUAUCAGCUUGUUGGUGGGGUAGUGGCUUACCAAGGCUUUGACGGGUAGCCGGCCUGAGAGGGUGGACGGCCACAAUGGGACUGAGAUACGGCCCAGACUAGUACGGGAGGCAGCAGUGGAGAAUAUUGCACAAUAAGCGGAAGCAUGAUGCAGCAACGCAGCGUGCGGGAUAACGGCCUUCGGGUUGUAAACCGAUUUGGGAGGUGACGAAGCGUGAAUGACGGUAAUGGGUAAAGAAGCACCGGCUAACUACGUG